Molecule: ribosomal RNA, 497 nt
Filed under: uncultured bacterium
Lineage: Bacteria
Description: partial 16S ribosomal RNA
Rfam family: Bacterial small subunit ribosomal RNA
Source: RNAcentral
GAUGAACGCUGGCAGCGUGCCUAAUACAUGCCAGUCGUUCGCGCGGACGUGAUUCUUGCUUCUCUGAUGUUAGCACCGGACAGGUGAGUAACACGUGGUUAACCUACCUAUAAGAUUGAGAGAAGUUCGGGACACCUGAGCUAAGACCAGGUAAUACUUUGAACCGCAUGGUUCAAAAGUAAGAGAUGGUGUUGGUGAGACUUAUGUCUUGUUACGCUCUUGAUUGGCUAGUUGGUAAGGUAACGGCUUAUCAAGGCAACGAUGAAGAGCCCACCUGAGAGGGUGAAGGGAGACACUGGAACUGAGACACGGUCCAGACUCCUACGGGAGGCAGCAGUAGGGAAUCUUCCGCAAUGGGCGAAAGCCUGACGGAGCAACGCCGCGUGAGUUAUGAAGGUCUUCGGAUCGUAAAACUCUGUUAUUAGGGAAGAACAUAUGUGUAAGUAACUGUGCACAUCUUGACGGUACCUAAUCAGAAAGCCACGGCUAACUACGUG